Molecule: ribosomal RNA, 494 nt
Filed under: uncultured bacterium
Lineage: Bacteria
Description: partial 16S ribosomal RNA
Rfam family: Bacterial small subunit ribosomal RNA
Source: RNAcentral
GACGAACGCUGGCGGCGCGCUUAACACAUGCAAGUCGAACGGAAAGGCCUGCUUUCCCUUGUGGAUUGCGGGUACUCGAGUGGCGAACGGGUGAGUAACACGUGAGUGAUCUGCCCCCAACUUGGGUAUAAGCCUGGGAAACUUGGUCUAAUUCCCGAUAGGACUGCAGGGUGGUGCCUGUGGUGGCAAACGAGUUUCUAGUGGUUGGGGAUGAGCUCGCGGCCUAUCAGCUUGUUGGUGGGGUAAUGGCCUACCAAGGCGGCGACGGGUAGCCGGCCUGAGAGGGUGGACGGCCACAUUGGGGCAGAGACACGGCCCAGAACACUACGGGAAGCAGCAGUGGGGAAUAUUGAACAACGAGCGGAAGCCUGAUGCAGCGAAGCAGCGUGAGGGAUGACGGCCUUCGGAUGGUAAACUCCUUGCGACCGCGAGGAAGCAGCAUGGUUGGAAGGGUGGUGACGGUAAUGAUAGAAGAAGCACCGGCUAACUACGUG